GGGGAGGCUUAAUGCAAGUCGAACGGAGAUAUCAUUUUCAAGCAAUUAGUUUACUAAGAGUGGAGAAGAUGAUAUCUUAGUGGCGGACGGGUGAGUAACGCGUGGGUAACCUGCCUUACACUGGGGGAUAACACUUAGAAAUAGGUGCUAAUACCGCAUAAUGAGAGGAGACGCAUGUCUUCUGUCUGAAAACUCCGGUGGUGUAAGAUGGACCCGCGUCUGAUUAGCCAGUUGGCGGGGUAACGGCCCACCAAAGCGACGAUCAGUAGCCGGCCUGAGAGGGUGAACGGCCACAUUGGGACUGAGACACGGCCCAAACUCCUACGGGAGGCAGCAGUGGGGAAUAUUGGACAAUGGGGGGAACCCUGAUCCAGCGACGCCGCGUGAGUGAAGAAGUAUUUCGGUAUGUAAAGCUCUAUCAGCAGGGAAGAAAGAAAUGACGGUACCUGACUAAGAAGCCCCGGCUAACUACGUGCCAGCAGCCGCGGUAAUACGUAGGGGGCAAGCGUUAUCCGGAUUUACUGGGUGUAAAGGGAGCGCAGACGGCAGUGCAAGUCUGAAGUGAAAGGCGGGGGCCCAACCCCCGGACUGCUUUGGAAACUGUGCUGCUGGAGUGCAGGAGAGGCAAGUGGAAUUCCUAGUGUAGCGGUGAAAUGCGUAGAUAUUAGGAGGAACACCAGUGGCGAAGGCGGCUUGCUGGACUGUAACUGACGUUGAGGCUCGAAAGCGUGGGGAGCAAACAGGAUUAGA
This 750-nucleotide ribosomal RNA is filed under the name uncultured bacterium. Its description in RNAcentral is "bacterial SSU rRNA". It matches the Rfam family "Bacterial small subunit ribosomal RNA", at positions 41 to 782 of the family's 1533-position model. The record is from RNAcentral.